UAAACUGGGAUUAGAUACCCCACUAUGCCUAGCCGUAAAAUAUUUAUUUACACCAUAAACCGCCAGGGAAUUACGAGCCCAAGCUUAAAACCCAAAGGACUUGACGGUGCCCCACCCACCUAGAGGAGCCUGUUCUAUAAUCGAUUCCCCCCGAUACACCCCACCACUUCUAGCCUCUCAGCCUGUAUACCUCCGUCGUAAGCUUACCAUGUGAACGUAACCAGUGAGCUAAAAGACCUCACCCGUCCACACGUCAGGUCAAGGUGCAGCACACGAAGUGGAAAGUAAUGGGCUACAAUUUCUAGCUUAGAACAAACGAAAGACUGCAUGAAACACAGCCAUGAAGGCGGAUUUAGUAGUAAAAAGAAAAUAGAGUGUUCUUUUUAAUAAGGCGCUGGGACGCGUACACACCGCCCCGUCACCCUCA
Molecule: ribosomal RNA, 427 nt
Filed under: Ctenophryne carpish
Lineage: Eukaryota; Metazoa; Chordata; Amphibia; Anura; Microhylidae
Description: partial 12S ribosomal RNA
Rfam family: Bacterial small subunit ribosomal RNA
Source: RNAcentral